GAAAUGCGAUAAGUAGUGUGAAUUGCAGAAUUCAGUGAAUCAUCGAAUCUUUGAACGCACAUUGCGCCCCUCGGUAUUCCGUGGGGCAUGCCUGUUCGAGCGUCAUCUACACCCUCAAGCUCUGCUUGGUGUUGGGCGUCUGUCCCGCCUCCGCGCGCGGACUCGCCCCAAAUGCAUUGGCAGCGGUUCCUUGCCCCCCUCUUUGCGCAGCACAUUGCCAUUCGAGGCGGCGGCGGCCCGCGUCCAACAAGCUCAACCCCCCCGUCUUUGACCUCGGAUCAGGUAGGGAUACCCUCUGAACUUAAGC
This 307-nucleotide unclassified non-coding RNA is filed under the name plant metagenome. Its description in RNAcentral is "partial contains 5.8S ribosomal RNA, internal transcribed spacer 2, and large subunit ribosomal RNA". The stretch from base 1 to 105 matches the Rfam family "5.8S ribosomal RNA", at positions 50 to 154 of the family's 154-position model. The record is from RNAcentral.